CCGGGGCGGGGCGGGGCGGGGCGACGGCGUCGGAGGAGGCGGUAGCAGCGGCGGUGGCGGCGGUGCGCCCAAGGAGGCGCGCCUUCCUCGCCGUGGGCCCGACUUGGAGCUCCCACCCCCGGGCCUCACCGGCCGGGCACGAGGCUUCCCCACCGGAAGCACGAGGCCGAAUUCCAAGCUAUUGUCCUAUCUCGCCUGGUAUCGCGCGCUCCUGGCGGUAGCCUAAUCGCCACAGCCUCAGGCAAAAGGAAUUGGCCUGGGCCCGCAGGCAGAGGAACUAAUGCCUCAAGGAUACAAGCGGUUUUUUUGGAAAAGCCUGCAUACCCUGUAUCUAUCCAACCGGUACCUUACAGAUUUUUUUACUCUGUCUGCUUUAAACUAAGCCCCUAUCUUUCUGACCAACAUCAUCCUAACGAAAGGGAUGAUUAUUCAACAAAUAUUAAUCGAAUGACUAUUUUGUGUGCCAGACGCUGUGUCUAGGCUCUUGAGAUGGAGGCUUUAAGAGCACCUGGUUUUCUACCCUCCAGAGAUUUACUGUGAAGCGGAGAUAUAGACCAGUGAGUUACAAGAGAAAUCUCUUAAUGACUAUGUAAGUACAGGUUGCCUAGGGAUCUCUAAAGAGAAGUUCGACCUGGAGAUGUGUCCACAAGUAGUUUCCUCGAAUGGUAAAUUAUGCUGGAAGGUUGACAGCAAAGUAAGAAAAGGAAGGGAGACUUUUCAUAUUUCAAGUGAGACGACAGCUCUAAGGCUGAAAGCGGUAUUGUAGGAAUUUGAAGAAGUUUAUGAUGGCUGAAGAUUGUUCGCAAGAGGGGACAGUAGAGAAAUGAAACUGAGGAGGAAAUGCUGGAGGAUUUAGAGGCUUAUCCUAAAGAAAAACUUCUCAAAGAUUUCGUGCAUAGGAGUGGCAUGAUAUAAAUUAUGUUUUUUGAAAAUUAUUAUUUGGAGACAGAGACAUAGAACCCGCAAUCACUGGGUCACUUCCCCAGUACCAGAAGCAGCAGCAGAAGUCAGGAGCUGGCAAUUCCAUCCUGGUCUCCAAGGUGGGAGGCAGGAACCCGAUGGCUUGAGUCCUCAGUGCUGCAUUCCAGGGUCUGCAAUGGUGAGAAGCUGGAGUCAGGAGCAGGAGGAACUCAGGCGGAGAGACAGAGGGAGAGAGAGAGAGAGAGCACCUAUCCACUGAUUCAUUCCCCAGAUGCCCACAGUGGGUGGGACUGGCCAUGACCUGGCCGAAACUAAGAGCUGGGAAUUCAACACAGGUCUCCCAUGUGGAUGUCAGGAACCCACGUACUUGAGCCUUCACUGCUGCUUUGCAAAGUCUGCAUUAUCAGGAAACUGGAGUCACGAGCUGCAGGCAGGAACUGGAACCAGCAGGUUUUUGGCGAAGUCAUAAUUGUCAGGAAAGAACCAUGGACAGAGAACAUUUUUCUUGCUUCACUGCUUUCUUAAAUCAAAACUUUGCUAAGUAAUAGACUUUUCAACUAGUUCCAUGACCACCCAGAACAAACACUGCUCUUCCUGGCUUUUCUGCACAUAAGCAUAGGCAUAUAACUAAAUUAUGGCCAAUGAGAUAUAAGUGGAAUUGUCUUGUGGCAACUUCUAAGAACCUUCCUUAGAAGAUACUUGGGACAUACCAUUUGCCUUGUUCUUCAUCUAUUCUUGAAUGCUGCUGCUUUCUUGGACCCUGAGGAUCAGAGCUACAUCCUAAGAAUGGUGGAGCUGUGAGCCCAGAGCCUGUUCACUGGGAAUUUUGUGGAGAACCACUGUACCAGCUCUGGACUUGUUCGGUGCAUGUGAGAGAAAAUUAGAAAUAUACCUUUUUGUGCCACUGUUUUUUUUUCAUAUUUUAUCAUGUUUAUUGGAACUUAAUCCUAAAUGAUACACUGAGGCUUACUUGCUUAUCUCUUCUUUCAGUUGAAUAAACUGCUGCAUUAUCUCUUCUGCAAACUUUUUCAUUGCUUUUGUUAAGUUAGACGGAUUUUGUUUCUGAGACUGCUACAAAGGUUUGUACCAGUCAGAGAAAGGUUUAAAAUGUCAACAUCACGGCAGUACUCACAGUCAGAAAACUGAUUACUGAGGCCUAUAGUCCAGCAGUUCUCAACAGGUGACACACACCUUUGGGACAUUUUGGAAACUUAUAGACCCUUUUUAGCUUAUUAACAUAAUUGGAAGAUACUUCUAGAAGUUCUACGUUGUAUAAGACAUACCCGUACUUCAAAAACUUGGUCUGUAAAUUGAAUAAGACUUUCAAAUGUCUUAUUGGAUUUUCAUGUACAUAUAGAAUUUAUUAUCUGUGCCUAUACCCAACUCCAUUUUAUAUAAGGAUAUGUGUAGUUUUAUGUAUUUUUUUAAUUUAUGAAUUUUCUAGGAUUCUAACUAUUAAAUAAGCCAAAGAAAUUUUGUACAUUGGUUUCUGGGGAACUUUACGAAGAGUUGCUUACUGUUUUGGAAACUUAUGUCCUGGACAUCACCACUCAUGGUAUUGGAGUCUCCAAUUCAGUUUCAUGCUUUGUAUUUGUGGUUGUUACAUUCAUGGUGAUUCUGAGACUACCCCAAGAUGUAAGCUUCUGAGUGUCUGAGAGUUUACAUUCUGUGACAUAUAUUACUUUAUUAUAAGUGGGUUUUAUUAAUGCUUUUAAAAUAUAGUUAGAUCAUUACAUUGGUAUUAAAAUGUUUUGUAUAAAUUGUGUUACCUAUGAAUUCCAUUUCAGGAUUGUAAAGGAGACAUUUUAAAAUAGUAUUAUAAAAGGAGCUGCAGGCAUAGGCCUGAUAGGACUCUAGCCAGUUAAAAUAAGUCAAAUCUAUAAGGCUAAAAGAUGGGAAUAACAUCUGGGAGGUGCUAAGUAGGGAGGUAUGAGCUGAUCCUUCAGGUAAUCCCCUUGACAUGGCUCAGGGGCUUCUCUACAUAUCUCAUUAGCCAUCAACAUUGCCCUGCCUCUGACCUCCUAAAUCAUGGAUUACAUUUGUCUUCAUCUGAGGGAAUUCUUUUGUAACUGACCUCAUACACCAGCCACCUCUGUUCAGCUUCUAUCUCAUUACCCUUGUGAUACUGGAAAACAGUAUUUGUAGAUACAGAUACCAGAUAAAUCGAUUUAGGAAAAUGUAAAUCUGGUUCCACUUUUACUUCCUGUAGAGGAUAUUAUUAGCAUAUUUUCCAUAUGAAUAGGGGCUGUCAUAAGCCAUAUGCAGUUCACCAUAUAGCAUAUGCCUGUUUCAAGGCAUAUUUUAAUAUAGCACAAAGGCAAAGAGAUUCAACUUGAAAUGUUUCCUGUGUGUUUUGGUUUAGACUUUUUGGCUAUCAUGAAGCUUAAGUUAGUUUUCUGCAUAUAUGCCAUAGAAUGAGCUCUCAAUAAAUUAGCUAACAAAGUUAAACAAGCGGAGAAGAAUUUUGGGCAAAAUAAAUUAUUAGAAUUUCAACUCAGUCUAGGCAGAAUCUGACAGAUUUUGCAGUUGAAGCCAUUUUACUAGGUGGACAAAAAAAAAAAAAAAGAAAAAAAAAGAAAAGCUGGAAAUAGCAUGGCUGGCAAAGAAGUAGGAAGAUAUGGCAUCAAUAAUUAGACUCUGUAAAGCACAUCAUCCCAUAUAGCAGAUACCUUCAUGGGUUCAAGAAAUAUUGAUUGAGUCCCAUCUUACAUCAAGUACUAUGUUAGUUCCUAGGGAAACAAUGGUAAACAAAGAUAGAGACAAUUCCUGACCUCAAGGAAUUCACAAUCUAGUGUGGAAGAUGGACAAUAAUAAUAAUUUUAAAACCACUUAUCAUUAUAUAGUCACAGAUGGACUUGCAUACUGUUAAUGAAAGGAACCUCAAGUAAAGAACACUGACUGUACUGAAUUGCUUUAGCCCCUCCAUCCUAUUGUGCUCCAGGAGGUUGCCUCUGUGGCCUCCAGCGAGAGGCAACCUGCCUCUCUGUCCUCAGUCUGGGGGUUUGACCCAUGAGCGGUAUCAACAGCAGACUAAGAGGACAGGAGCAGAGUAAAAUGAGGCUAGUCUCUCCCCUUCUGUGCAAGGCUAUGGAUUGUCAUCUUCUCUUUGCUGCAAGCUGUAGCUAUUCUCUGCAUUCUAGGAGCUACCCAUCUCCUACUCCCUUAGGUGAAGAGUGAAAGGCCUUCCUGCUGUUGCUGGUUGCAGAUGCUUCAUUAUAGCUAGUUGACUUCCCUUAACUGUAACACACAUUUGUAAAUGGUUCCUUCAAUGAAUUCACUUUUUGUCCCUUCCUUUUCCUGCCAGUAGCCUGACACUAGCCUGGAAUAGAGGAGAGUGGGUUGCUAGUAAUGAAAAGAAUAUUACAGGAAGACAGGAAAGCUUGAUAAAAGAAAUGUCUGAAGGAAGGAACACUGUAGCUGGAGUGUGGAGAGGGUGGGAUGGGAUGAUGCCAGAGAAGGAGCAAGGGUGAAAUCAAGUUCUAGCAAAUAUUUUCCUUCUCCCUCUUCUUCUUUCUCUCUCUUUCUCUGCCUCUCUCCAUCUCUCCCCUCAGAAUUUGGAACCCCUUCUUGUGUUUGGGGAUUUUUUACUGGGAGGCCAGCUAGUCUAACAUUGCAGAAGUUAAGCUCUCAAACUGCUAGGUGUGGGCGCAUGGCCUGGCUUCAGCCUGUCAGGUGCAUCCACUCAAUUUUUUUGGAACAAGAUCCAGAAACAAAACAGUGAGGAAUUGUCUUCGUGCCUUGGCCAGACUUCCAGAGUAUUGGCAGUGCAGGCUGCAGCAUCCAUUUCCUGAGCUUGACCCAGCCUUCCCAUAGGCUUUCAUAUUUUUCUUCAUAAAUUCGGUUUCUUCUUCCUAGUGACAAUAUUCUUUUUUUUUUUUGACAGGCAGAGUGGACAGUGAGAGAGAGAGACAGAGAGAAAGGUCUCCCUUUUUGCCGUUGGUUCACCCUCCAUCAGUGGCCGCCGCGGCCGGCAUGCUGCGGCCGGCGCACCACGCUGAUCCGAUGGCAGGAGCCAGGUGCUUCUCCUGGUCUCCCAUGGGGUCUUUUUAGUACAUUUCUUUGCCUUUUUUUUUUUUUUAAUUUGAGGGUGACAAAGACAGAGAGUGAGCUCCCAUCUGCUGGUUCAUUCCACAAAGGCCUGCAGUGGCUAGGGCUGGGCCAGACUGAAGCCAGGUGCCAAGGUCUUAAUUCAAGUCUUCUAGGUGGGUGUCAUGGGUUCUACUUGAGUAAUUACCACUUAAGCCAUUAGUGGUAGCUCUCAGGCUCCAUCUUACCAGGAAGCUGGCAUCAGUAGUCAAAGCCCAGGUAUUGAACCCAGACAUCCCAGUAUAGGACAUGGCUUUCUGGACCAGUGGCUUAACCACUAAGCCAAAUGCCUUCCCCCAUUUCUUUGCUUCCUAAAUUUACUUUUAAAAUUAACAUCAUUGGGGCUGACAUUGUGACAUAGAGAGUAAAGCCACCCCCACAAUGCCGGUAUCCCAUAUGGUGCUGGUUUGCUCCACUUCCAAUCUGACUUCCUGUUAAUGGCCUGAGAAAGCAGCAGAAGAUGGCCCAAGUGUUUAGGCCCCUGCCACCCUUGUGAGAGACUCAGAUGAAACUCUUGGCUCCUGGCUUUGGCCUGUCCCAGUCCUGGCCAUCUGGGGAAUAAACCAGCAGAUGGAAGAUCUCUCUCUUUGUCAUUCCCUUUCUCUGUAUAACUCUGACUUUUAAAGUAAAUAAAUAAAUCUUUUUGAAAAUUAUAAUUUUUAUUAAUGGCUAAGAAAUCUGAUGAUUAAAUACACUGUUUUGACCAAGACCACUUUGCCUUAUAGCCUAUGCUAAGAACCUAUGUCAUAGAACUAAGGGAAACCAUUGAAGGCUUUUUAAAAAAAUUAUUGAUUUUUUAUUUGAAAGAGAGAGAGAUCUUCUAUCAACUAGUUCACUCCCCAAAUGGCCAUAAAGGCUGGAGAUGGACUGAUCCAAAUCCAAGAGCUGGGAGAUUUUUCUGGGUCUCCAACAUGUGUUCAGGGACCCAAGGAAUUGUCCUAUUUCUGCUGCUUUCCCAGGCACAUUAGCAAGGAGCUGGAUUGGAAGUGGAGCAGUCAGGACUUGAACUGGCACCCAUAUGGGAUGCUGGUGCCACAAGCUGGGGCUGAAGGCUUUAAGCAGCAAGAAUGAAGUGGUGGCAGUGACAAGACCAAGUCUGCAUUUUGAGGAAAUCUCUGACUGCAUUGGGUAGGAUCUAGAUUAAAUAUAGGGAGAUAAAAAAAUAGGUGAUGUUGACUUAGACUAGAAAUUGCAGGGGAGACAUAGAUAAGCUCAAGGAUUUAAGAGAUAUGUGGCAGGGCUGGCACAGUGGUGUAGCAGGUAAAGCUGCCGCCUGCAGUACCAGCAUCCCAUAUGGGCACCAGUUCGGUUUCCAACUGCUCCAUUUCUGAUCUAGGUCUCUGUUAUGACCUGGGAAAGCAGUGGAAGAUGGCCCAGGUCCUUGGGUCCCUGCAUCCAUGUGGAAUACCUGGAAUAGCUCCUGGCUCCUGGCAAUUUGGGAUUGGCCCAAAUCUGCCCAUUGUGGCCAUUUGGGGAGUGAACCAGUAGAUGGAAGAUUCCUCUCUCUCUCUCUCCCCCUCUGCCUCUCUGCCUUUCAAAUCAAUCAAUCAAUCAAUCAAUCUUUAAAAAAGAGAGAGCAAUGUGGCAAGUACAGUUGCUUUGAUUGGAAUGGGAGAAGGUUAAGGAAAAGAGGCAUAUCAAGGUUAACCCUCAGUUUUUUGCUUCCUUAAGAGGACAUUGAGUUCAUGAAGCCCAGAUACUUUUAAAUCCUUGAUUGCUACCAAUGACUUAAUGUCUGAUCAAAAUGAUUUUUCCAUUCUUCUAUGCUUUUAUAUACAUACAUAAACUUGUUGGAGUUGGAUGACAUUUUACACUUAUAUUUUCUUCAGAUACAGACUCUGAAUUCAAAAUGUGUUUCAGUGCUUGGCUGUGAGUGAGGAGGAGAAACACAGUUGGUUUCUGAGUCACACUGUGAAGUAGUAGUCAGUGCUGAGGAUUCAGCUGCAAUGCCUGAUUCAACACGACCUUGGGCUGGUGUGAGUAGGAGGAAAACCAUUUUUGAGAAGCCAGAAUUGUCCUGCCAUCUGUCAUUUUUAGGCUUUGCUUCUUACACAAAACUGGUGAAUAAAACUUUUAACAGGCAGUAGCUGGAAAGGGAUACAUAGCAUCUUCAUUCAUGAGAAAAGUCUAAAUUUUGUUUUCCAUUUAAGGACAUUAUUUAAAUAUUCUCUGGGCUAUGUUUAUGCAUCCUAAAUUGAAUUAUAUAAUGUUCACUGUCAUCAGUACUUCAAUCAGGACCUCACAUUGGGAAAUUGUGAAACUAGCAUUUGCUGCUAACUGUGAUUCACAACUUCCCCCAUGUGAAUCAAGCUAUAUUUAGGGUCUUUUCCAAACUGACUUAUUUAUGACUUUUCCCAACAAAAGUUGUAAAAUUUCCAUUAAUUUCGCGUUUACUUUUUAUUAUUCUGCCAAAUACAUUUCUGUAUACAUACCAUACAUCCUUAUACACACCAUGCAUUUAAUUAACUCCCACUAAUCGUAGGUGUUGCUGACUCCAUUUUACACAUAAAGGAAUUAGAAGUCUUAAUACUGUUCAAUGUUUUAAAAUUUAUUUAUUUAUAUUGACUUAUUUGAAAGGCAAGAGUCUCUCUCUCUCUCUCUCUCUCUCUCUCUCACACACACACACACACACACACAGCCCUUCCUUCCUCUGGUUCACUCCCUAAAAGCCCACAAUAGUUGGGACUGAGUCAUGUCAUAAGCAGGAGCUCAGAACUCCCUCCAGGUCUCCCACAUGGGUGUCAAGGACUCAAAACUUGAGUCCUUACUUGCUGAUUCCCAGGGUGUGCACUGUCAGGAAACGGGAUUGGAAAUAAAGGCAGGACUUAAACUCAGGCACUCCAAUAUGGGAUGCUGGUGUCCCAAGUGGAGUCUAAAAUGCUGCAGCAAACACUGUCCCUAGAAAUACUAUUUUGAACCUAGAUGUAUGUUGUUAGGCCUAUGCCAAAUCACUAUGCCAUAAAACCAUCUGACUUACUGUUUCCUCUCAUUUAUUCAGUGUUCCCUGAAGUGAUGUCAAUAUGAAAUGUAUUAUAAUUAUUUUGAAAUUGAAGACAUCUAAUAGAUACAAAAGCACAGAUAAGUAAAUUAAUGGAUAACAUGAGGAAUUAAAUAGUUAAAAGAAUGUAAGUGGUGGGCAUUGUGGCAUAGCAAGUUAAGCUGUUGCUUGAAAUUCCUACAUCCUGGGGCUGGUGCUGUGGCAUAGAGGGUAAAGCUACCACCUGCAGUGCUGGCAUCUCGUAUGGGCACUGGUUGGAGUCCCAGCUGCUCCACUUCUGAUCCAGCUCUCUGCUGUGGCCUGGGAAAGCAGUAGAAGAUGACCCAAGUUCUUGGGUCCCUGCAUCUACGUGGGAGGCCCAGAAGAAGUACCUAGCCCCUGGCUUUGAAUUGGCUCAGCUCUGGCUGUUGCGGCUAAUUGGGGAGUGAACCAGAAGAUGGAAGA
This is a non-coding RNA of Oryctolagus cuniculus (rabbit), 8449 nucleotides long. NCBI's taxonomy places the organism in Eukaryota, Metazoa, Chordata, Mammalia, Lagomorpha, Leporidae. The record is from RefSeq and is a predicted model, not a curated record.